GCUAACAACAUCCUUGACUCUUCUUUGAAAGAAGCAAAUCUCAGGGAGUGAAUACUCAGCCAAAGGAAGUCAAGAGGAAAGGCAGAGAUUGUAACGAAAGGAAAAAGUAAAUUUGGUUACUUUGGGAAGAAUACUGUAAAGCUGCAGAUUCUGAUGUAUUCCAUUUACUGCCAGAUAAAUGUUCAGAGGUCUUGGAUGGAUGAUUUUACUACUAAAAAGCUGCAUUACAAGUCUUGACAACUAAACUCCAGUAGAAAAAAGAAAAAGGUAAGUGGACCAUAUUGAUAAAAUAAAAUUUCAAAUUAAACAAUGUUUAAAGGAAAA
RNAcentral lists this long non-coding RNA (324 nucleotides) under Bos indicus x Bos taurus (hybrid cattle). Its description in RNAcentral is "lncRNA (ENSBIXG00000016137.1)". Lineage: Eukaryota; Metazoa; Chordata; Mammalia; Artiodactyla; Bovidae. The record is from RNAcentral.